This 77-nucleotide transfer RNA is filed under the name Vibrio vulnificus. RNAcentral describes it as "tRNA-Asp". It matches the Rfam family "tRNA". From Rfam's summary of the family: Transfer RNA (tRNA) molecules are approximately 80 nucleotides in length. Lineage: Bacteria; Pseudomonadati; Pseudomonadota; Gammaproteobacteria; Vibrionales; Vibrionaceae. The record is from RNAcentral.
GGAGCGGUAGUUCAGUUGGUUAGAAUACCAGCCUGUCACGCCGGGGGUCGCGGGUUCGAGUCCCGUCCGCUCCGCCA